This 254-nucleotide ribosomal RNA is filed under the name uncultured bacterium. Its description in RNAcentral is "partial 16S ribosomal RNA". It matches the Rfam family "Bacterial small subunit ribosomal RNA", at positions 524 to 776 of the family's 1533-position model. The record is from RNAcentral.
UACGGGGGGAGCAAGCGUUGUUCGGAUUUACUGGGCGUAAAGGGCGCGUAGGCGGCCACCGCAAGUCGAUUGUGAAAUCUCCGGGCUUAACCCUGGAAAGGCGGUGGAAACUGAAGCGCUAGAGUGCGGUAGGGGUAGAGGGAAUUCCCGGUGUAGCGGUGAAAUGCGUAGAGAUCGGGAAGAACAUCGGUGGCGAAAGCGCUCUACUGGACCGCAACUGACACUCAGGGACGAAAGCUAGGGGAGCGAAUGGG